AAGAACGUUUUGUGUGGAUCUCACCUGUGGGACCAUCUUUUUCUAUCGAUGAAUGGGCACACAUGGAUGUAUGGUUGAAGACUAUACCAUUGAUGCCCCUUUGGAUAAAAGUAGAGCUGGUCUGACCAUUUAAACUUUUCUUUCAUCAUUAUGUGUUUUUACACCUUAUAAAUUUGAUGAACUUUAACCAUUUUUGCUUUUAGCCCUGUUUGAGGGAUACCAUUCCGAUGAUAAAAAUGCAAUUGCCAAAGUAAUUUUUAGUCUGUCCAGAUACAUAAGGAUCCAUCAGAGGGAUGUUUCAGAUCAUCAAAAUAUACAAUCAUGUGUACUUGGCUUGUCUAUAAUUGCUUGAGCCAAGAAAUGGGCCUCAACCACUAAUUAUCCUUAUAUCGAAUGCUUACACAGAUGCAUUGAGGUCAGAAAGCCUCGAGCUUGUGCAACCCAGCUCUCUUACAAUCUAACACAGGCCUGGAUAGAAGGUGUGUAAUAUCCAAGCUUUCCAUCAGGUGGUUCCCCACUUCUUGAUGCUAUGGUCCAAAAAUCAGGCAAGUCCACUCCAUGUAAGGAUCACCCACAGCAAGGGCCCCACACCCUUGGCUUAUUAUUAUUAUUAUUAUUUUUCUUACCAAUCUUCAUUGCUUCAAUAUAAUGAAGGGUUUCCAUAAUGUUUGACUUGUAUUAUGUAUUUAUCUUUGGUUGUAAGAUGCUUAUUCAAAGUGGAAGUAACUAUAUAGAGUGUAGGCUCAGGGGUCUACAAUGCUUACAUGGAUGCAUGAUCAAAGCUACUCAUCAGUUUUAUCCUUGAAGAAAAAAGGGAAGAAAAAUCUGUCCACAUAUUUAUAAAAAAAAAUUCCAUAGCUAUUCUCCUCCAUCUGCUAGUUACAGGUAUUUAUUGGUUCCUUUUAUUUUAUAUCAAAUUUGUUUUUUGGUUAUUUUAUUUUGUUUUGUAAACUUUUGUCUUUGCAUUGGUAACUGAAGGUGGAGCAUUGGUAAUAGAGGGGGGCUUUGCUGCUUCAUAUGGGGAUGGAUAUGGACUUCAUUUGGUAUGGUUGUUUUUGCAGGAAAUAUUUAUGACUGAAAAUUUAAUUUUAGAUAGUGUAACUUAGAUUAUGAGUGUACAUACUGUUUUAUUACCUGACCUCUAUGCAUGGCAGGGUGGUGCUGACAAAGGUCCUCUAUAUGGCAUGAGUUCUCUUGUUCUUGGGGUGCAUUUGAGAAGUCUCGCCUUGGGCGUCGCUGAAGUCCGUUGAUUUUUUUUUUUUUUUUCCUUCUGCUUUUCCUUGUGUCUCAAUUUGUAAAUUUUUUGUCCAUUAUGUAAGCUUUCAUUCUUAGGCCCUCUAUAAAUGAGGCUGGUUGUAAAUGAUUUAUAAGUUGUGUUUGAAUGCUAAUUUAAGCUUGUAAAGGUCUUUUGAUUUAGAAGA
Molecule: long non-coding RNA, 1421 nt
Organism: Magnolia sinica
Lineage: Eukaryota; Viridiplantae; Streptophyta; Magnoliopsida; Magnoliales; Magnoliaceae
Exons: 2
Source: RefSeq, a predicted model, not a curated record